CCCCUCUCAGGGUCGCACCUGGAGAGUUUCCAGUACCCUACCAGUCUCGGCUACGGGAGGGAGAGUCAAGCGGAGGCCUGUCCAUUCCAUUCCUAGGUUAGUCAGUGGCUAGAGAGUGGAAGGCCAUCUGCUACAAGU
This is a non-coding RNA of Ornithorhynchus anatinus (platypus), 138 nucleotides long. The record is from Rfam. Lineage: Eukaryota; Metazoa; Chordata; Mammalia; Monotremata; Ornithorhynchidae.